This 254-nucleotide ribosomal RNA is filed under the name uncultured bacterium. RNAcentral describes it as "partial 16S ribosomal RNA". It matches the Rfam family "Bacterial small subunit ribosomal RNA", at positions 524 to 776 of the family's 1533-position model. The record is from RNAcentral.
UACGAGAGCCCCGAGCGUUAUCCGGAAUUAUUGGGCGUAAAGUGUGCGUAGGCGGCUAUGUUAGUCGUUUUUCAAAUCUGUCGGCUCAACCGGCAAACUGGAAACGAAACGGCAUUGGCUAGAGGCUGUAAGGGGUAUAUGGAACUCAUGGUGUAGGGGUGAAAUCCGUUGAUAUCAUGGGGAACACCAAAAGCGAAGGCAAUAUACUGGUACAGAUCUGACGCUGAGGCACGAAAGCGUGGGUAGCGAAUGGG